RNAcentral lists this ribosomal RNA (1597 nucleotides) under Vibrio harveyi. RNAcentral's name for it is "bacterial SSU rRNA". It matches the Rfam family "Bacterial small subunit ribosomal RNA". The record is from RNAcentral. Lineage: Bacteria; Pseudomonadati; Pseudomonadota; Gammaproteobacteria; Vibrionales; Vibrionaceae.
UUUGAUCCGGCUCAGAUUGAAUGCUGGCGGCAGGCCUAACACAUGCAAGUCGAGCGGAAACGAGUUAUCUGAACCUUCGGGGAACGAUAACGGCGUCGAGCGGCGGACGGGUGAGUAAUGCCUAGGAAAUUGCCCUGAUGUGGGGGAUAACCAUUGGAAACGAUGGCUAAUACCGCAUAAUGCCUACGGGCCAAAGAGGGGGACCUUCGGGCCUCUCGCGUCAGGAUAUGCCUAGGUGGGAUUAGCUAGUUGGUGAGGUAAGGGCUCACCAAGGCGACGAUCCCUAGCUGGUCUGAGAGGAUGAUCAGCCACACUGGAACUGAGACACGGUCCAGACUCCUACGGGAGGCAGCAGUGGGGAAUAUUGCACAAUGGGCGCAAGCCUGAUGCAGCCAUGCCGCGUGUGUGAAGAAGGCCUUCGGGUUGUAAAGCACUUUCAGUCGUGAGGAAGGUAGUGUAGUUAAUAGCUGCAUUAUUUGACGUUAGCGACAGAAGAAGCACCGGCUAACUCCGUGCCAGCAGCCGCGGUAAUACGGAGGGUGCGAGCGUUAAUCGGAAUUACUGGGCGUAAAGCGCAUGCAGGUGGUUUGUUAAGUCAGAUGUGAAAGCCCGGGGCUCAACCUCGGAAUUGCAUUUGAAACUGGCAGACUAGAGUACUGUAGAGGGGGGUAGAAUUUCAGGUGUAGCGGUGAAAUGCGUAGAGAUCUGAAGGAAUACCGGUGGCGAAGGCGGCCCCCUGGACAGAUACUGACACUCAGAUGCGAAAGCGUGGGGAGCAAACAGGAUUAGAUACCCUGGUAGUCCACGCCGUAAACGAUGUCUACUUGGAGGUUGUGGCCUUGAGCCGUGGCUUUCGGAGCUAACGCGUUAAGUAGACCGCCUGGGGAGUACGGUCGCAAGAUUAAAACUCAAAUGAAUUGACGGGGGCCCGCACAAGCGGUGGAGCAUGUGGUUUAAUUCGAUGCAACGCGAAGAACCUUACCUACUCUUGACAUCCAGAGAACUUUCCAGAGAUGGAUUGGUGCCUUCGGGAACUCUGAGACAGGUGCUGCAUGGCUGUCGUCAGCUCGUGUUGUGAAAUGUUGGGUUAAGUCCCGCAACGAGCGCAACCCUUAUCCUUGUUUGCCAGCGAGUAAUGUCGGGAACUCCAGGGAGACUGCCGGUGAUAAACCGGAGGAAGGUGGGGACGACGUCAAGUCAUCAUGGCCCUUACGAGUAGGGCUACACACGUGCUACAAUGGCGCAUACAGAGAGAAGCGACCUCGCGAGAGCAAGCGGAUCCUCAUAAAGUGCGUCGUAGUCCGGAUUGGAGUCUGCAACUCGACUCCAUGAAGUCGGAAUCGCUAGUAAUCGUGGAUCAGAAUGCCACGGUGAAUACGUUCCCGGGCCUUGUACACACCGCCCGUCACACCAUGGGAGUGGGUUGCAAAAGAAGUAGGUAGCUUAACCUUCGGGAGGGCGCUUACCACUUUGUGAUUCAUGACUGGGGUGAAGUCGUAACAAGGUAACCGUAGGGGAACCUGCGGCUGGAACACCUCCAUGACUGGGGUGAAGUCGUAACAAGGUAGCGCUAGGGGAACCUGGGGCUGGAUCACCU